Molecule: ribosomal RNA, 330 nt
Filed under: uncultured Anaerolineaceae bacterium
Lineage: Bacteria; Bacillati; Chloroflexota; Anaerolineae; Anaerolineales; Anaerolineaceae
Description: bacterial SSU rRNA
Rfam family: Bacterial small subunit ribosomal RNA
Source: RNAcentral
UGCUGCAUGGCUGUCGUCAGCUCGUGUCGUGAGAUGUCCGGUUAAGUCCGGUAACGAGCGCAACCUCGCUGUAUGUUAUACGUGUCAUACGGGACUGCCCGGUAUCAAGCCGGAGGAAGGUGGGAUGACGUCAAGUCAGCAUGGCCUUUAUGUCUGGGGCUACACACACGCUACAAUGGCCAGUACAAUAGGUUGCAAGACCGCGAGGUGGAGCCAAUCCUUAAAGCUGGUCUCAGUUCGGAUUGCAGGCUGCAACUCGCCUGCAUGAAGUCGGAGUUGCUAGUAACCGCGCGUCAGCUAUAGUCGCGGUUCCGAAUACGUUCCGGCCUU